AGGCGUGAGAUGCACAUCGUUGAUUUACCAUACUUGCCGCACUGGCGGCAGCCUGUCCUGGGGUGGUUCUUGCAGCUCAAGAAAAUGACUGGCUAAUUUUAGGGUUGGGAGGAAAAAUAAUUUGUUUAACUAAGCGCUUCCACGUACGUCAGAGGCUAUCACUUUUGAUCCUAACAAAGAGGUACUCUAAGAGAGACAAACUGAAGAACUGAAGGAAAAAUUCAAGCCUCAAGUUGCAAUUUUGAAGGAUUCUAUGGGCAAAAUAUUGCACGAUGCAGGAAA
Long non-coding RNA from Trichechus manatus latirostris (Florida manatee), 282 nucleotides. RefSeq lists it as uncharacterized. The transcript is spliced from 2 exons. NCBI's taxonomy places the organism in Eukaryota, Metazoa, Chordata, Mammalia, Sirenia, Trichechidae. The record is from RefSeq and is a predicted model, not a curated record.